RNAcentral lists this ribosomal RNA (1571 nucleotides) under uncultured bacterium. Its description in RNAcentral is "bacterial SSU rRNA". It matches the Rfam family "Bacterial small subunit ribosomal RNA". The record is from RNAcentral.
AGAGUUUGAUCCUGGCUCAGGACGAACGCUGGCGGCGUGCCUAAUACAUGCAAGUCGAGCGGAGCUCGAUAGGUGCUUGCACCUUGAGAGCUUAGCGGCGGACGGGUGAGUAACACGUAGGUAACCUGCCUGUAAGACGGGGAUGACUCCGGGAAACCGGAGCUAAUACCGGAUAAUCUCAUAGACCGCAUGGUCUAUGGAUAAAAGAUGGCGUAAGCUAUCGCUUACAGAUGGACCUGCGGCGCAUUAGCUAGUUGGUAAGGGUAACGGCUUACCAAGGCGACGAUGCGUAGCCGACCUGAGAGGGUGACCGGCCACACUGGGGACUGAGACACGGCCCAGACUCCUACGGGAGGCAGCAGUAGGGAAUCUUCCGCAAUGGACGAAAGUCUGACGGAGCAACCGCCGCGUGAGUGAAGAAGGUUUUCGGAUCGUAAAACUCUGUUGUUAGGGAAGAACAAGUAUCGUUUGAAUAAGGCGGUAUCAUGACGGUACCUAACGAGAAAGCCCCGGCUAACUACGUGCCAGCAGCCGCGGUAAUACGUAGGGGGCAAGCGUUGUCCGGAAUUAUUGGGCGUAAAGCGCGCGCAGGCCGGUCUCUUAAGUCUGAUGUGAAAGCCCCACGGCUCAACCGUGGGAGGGGUCAUUUGGAAAACUGGGAGACUUGAGUUGUUGGAAAGGAAAGUGGAAAUUCCCACGUUGUUGCGGUGAAAUGCGUAAGAGAUUGUGGAGGAAACACCAGUUGGCGAAGGGCGACUUUUCUGGGCCUAUAACUGACGCUGAGGGCGCGAAAAGCGUGGGGAGCAAACAGGAUUUAAAUACCCCUGGUAGUCCACGCCGUAAACGAUGAGUGCUAGGGUGUUAGGGGUUUCGAUACCCUUAGUGCCGACGUUAACACAUUAAGCACUCCGCCUGGGGAGUACGGCCGCAAGGCUGAAACUCAAAGGAAUUGACGGGGGCCCGCACAAGCAGUGGAGCAUGUGGUUUAAUUCGAAGCAACGCGAAGAACCUUACCAGGACUUGACAUCCUUUGACCACUCUAGAGAUAGAGCUUACCCCUUCGGGGGACAAAGUGACAGGUGGUGCAUGGUUGUCGUCAGCUCGUGUCGUGAGAUGUUGGGUUAAGUCCCGCAACGAGCGCAACCCUUGAUCUUAGUUGCCAGCAUUAAGUUGGGCACUCUAAGGUGACUGCCGGUGAUAAACCGGAGGAAGGUGGGGAUGACGUCAAAUCAUCAUGCCCCUUAUGUCCUGGGCUACACACGUGCUACAAUGGACAGUACAAAGGGUAGCGAAGCCGCGAGGUGGAGCCAAUCCCAAAAAGCUGUUCUCAGUUCGGAUUGCAGGCUGCAAACUCGCCUGCAUGAAGCCGGAAUUGCUAGUAAUCGCGGAUCAGCAUGCCGCGGUGAAUACGUUCCCGGGCCUUGUACACACCGCCCGUCACACCACGAGAGUUUGUAACACCCGAAGUCGGUGGGGUAACCGUAAGGAGCCAGCCGCCUAAGGUGGGACAGAUGAUUGGGGUGAAGUCGUAACAAGGUAGCCGUAUCGGAAGGUGCGGCUGGAUCACCUCC